CUAACACAUGCAAGUCGAACGGUAACAGGAAGCAGCUUGCUGUUUCGCUGACGAGUGGCGGACGGGUGAGUAAUGUCUGGGGAACUGCCUGAUGGAGGGGGAUAACUACUGGAAACGGUAGCUAAUACCGCAUAACGUCGCAAGACCAAAGAGGGGGACCUUCGGGCCUCUUGCCAUCGGAUGUGCCCAGAUGGGAUUAGCUUGUUGGUGGGGUAACGGCUCACCAAGGCGACGAUCCCUAGCUGGUCUGAGAGGAUGACCAGCCACACUGGAACUGAGACACGGUCCAGACUCCUACGGGAGGCAGCAGUGGGGAAUAUUGCACAAUGGGCGCAAGCCUGAUGCAGCCAUGCCGCGUGUAUGAAGAAGGCCUUCGGGUUGUAAAGUACUUUCAGCGGGGAGGAAGGGAGUAAAGUUAAUACCUUUGCUCAUUGACGUUACCCGCAGAAGAAGCACCGGCUAACUCCGUGCCAGCAGCCGCGGUAAUACGGAGGGUGCAAGCGUUAAUCGGAAUUACUGGGCGUAAAGCGCACGCAGGCGGUUUGUUAAGUCAGAUGUGAAAUCCCCGGGCUCAACCUGGGAACUGCAUCUGAUACUGGCAAGCUUGAGUCUCGUAGAGGGGGGUAGAAUUCCAGGUGUAGCGGCGAAAUGCGUAGAGAUCUGGAGGAAUACCGGUGGCGAAGGCGGCCCCCUGGACGAAGACUGACGCUC
RNAcentral lists this ribosomal RNA (711 nucleotides) under uncultured Pseudomonadota bacterium. RNAcentral's name for it is "bacterial SSU rRNA". It matches the Rfam family "Bacterial small subunit ribosomal RNA", at positions 48 to 748 of the family's 1533-position model. Lineage: Bacteria; Pseudomonadati; Pseudomonadota. The record is from RNAcentral.